UGAGGAAUAUUGGGCAAUGGGCGCAAGCCUGACCCAGCCAUGCCGCGUGCAGGAUGAAGGCGCUAUGCGUUGUAAACUGCUUUUGUUCGGGAAGAAACCCAUCUACGUGUAGGUGGUUGACGGUACUGAAUGAAUAAGCAUCGGCUAACUCCGUGCCAGCAGCCGCGGUAAUACGGAGGAUGCAAGCGUUAUCCGGAUUCAUUGGGUUUAAAGGGUGCGUAGGCGGAAUAUUAAGUCAGCGAUGAAAUCCUGCAGCUUAACUGUAGAACUGUCAUUGAUACUGGUAUUCUUGAAUGCAGUUGAGGUAGGCGGAAUGUGUAAUGUAGCGGUGAAAUGCUUAGAUAUUACACAGAACACCGAUUGCGAAGGCAGCUUACUAAACUGUGAUUGACGCUGAGGCACGAAAGCGUGGGGAGCAAACAGG
This 424-nucleotide ribosomal RNA is filed under the name uncultured Bacteroidales bacterium. RNAcentral's name for it is "bacterial SSU rRNA". It matches the Rfam family "Bacterial small subunit ribosomal RNA", at positions 355 to 776 of the family's 1533-position model. Lineage: Bacteria; Pseudomonadati; Bacteroidota; Bacteroidia; Bacteroidales. The record is from RNAcentral.